GACGAACGCUGGCGGCGUGCUUAACACAUGCAAGUCGAGCGGAAAGGCCCUUCGGGGUACUCGAGCGGCGAACGGGUGAGUAACACGUGAGUAACCUGCCCCAGACUUUAGGAUAACCCUCGGAAACGGGGGCUAAUACCGGAUACGACACAGCUUCGCAUGGGGUCUGUGUGGAAAGUUUUUCGGUUUGGGAUGGGCUCGCGGCCUAUCAGCUUGUUGGUGGGGUGAUGGCCUACCAAGGCGACGACGGGUAGCCGGCCUGAGAGGGCGACCGGCCACACUGGGACUGAGACACGGCCCAGACUCCUACGGGAGGCAGCAGUGGGGAAUAUUGCACAAUGGGCGGAAGCCUGAUGCAGCGACGCCGCGUGAGGGAUGACGGCCUUCGGGUUGUAAACCUCUUUCAGCAGGGACGAAGCGUAAGUGACGGUACCUGCAGAAGAAGCGCCGGCCAACUACGUG
RNAcentral lists this ribosomal RNA (462 nucleotides) under uncultured bacterium. RNAcentral's name for it is "partial 16S ribosomal RNA". It matches the Rfam family "Bacterial small subunit ribosomal RNA", at positions 28 to 507 of the family's 1533-position model. The record is from RNAcentral.